CAGGAGUAGAUUCCAUCUUAACAAACCACGUUCUUCGUUCAUCCAGAAGAAACAACUCCUUGUCUGUUCAAGUUUGAUCAUGAGAUUACAGCAAUUCGGUCACAUCUCCAGGCUCCCCUUCUAAUUCUGGUUUUCUUAACUAUUUUCACCACGCCUGAAAUUUCUUCAUCCACUGAAGCCUUGAACCCCUCAAAGUCAUCCAUGAGGGCUGGAAUCAACUUCUUCCAAACUCCCGUUCAUGUUGAUAUUUUGACUUCCUCCCAUGAAUCAUGAAUUUUCUUAAAGGCAUCAAGAAUGGGGAAUCCUUUCCAGAAGAUUUUCAAUUUGCUGUGCCCAGAUCCAACAGAAGAAUCACUAUCUAUGACAGCUAUAGCCUUACAAGAUGUAUUUCUUAAAUAAUAAUGCUUUAAAGUCAAAGUAACUCCUUGAACCAUGGACUGCAGAAUGAAUGUUGUGUUAGCAGGCAUGAAAACAAUAUUAAUCUCUUUGAACAUCUCCAUCGAACCUCUUGGGUGACCAGGUGCAUUGCCAAUAAGCAGUAAUAUUUUGAGAGGAAUCUUCAUUUCUGGGCAUCGAGUCCCAAUAGUGGGCUUAAAAUACUCAGCAAACCAUGCUGACUAUAGAAAAGUGACUUGAAACAGACAUAUGAAAAUCACUUGCACAUUGUGAUUACUUACUUCCUCUUGAUGCUCUUGGAGCCCUACAACUCUGUGAAGAAGCCCAAGCAAGCCUGCUGGAUAACAAAGGGCAUAUGGUCCAGAUGGCUUUGUUGCCCUGAUCAACAGCCAACUAGACACUAGACACAUGGAAAAGACUUCCUGGAUUAUCCAACCACCAGCCAACCUAAAAGCAGACUAAGGAUGCUUGAAAGAGCUCCACAGAGAUUAGCUGAGCUCAUGCAGAUAAGAACUGCCUAGCUGACCCGAAUCAUAGACUAAAUAAAGUGUUGUUGUUUGAGGCCAUUAACUUUUGGGGUCAUUUGUUACACAGCAAAAGCUAACUGAUACAAGCACCACAUUGUAUUAAUGUUCCAGAUGCUGUGGAUACUCUGAUAAACCAG
RNAcentral lists this long non-coding RNA (1060 nucleotides) under Homo sapiens (human). RNAcentral describes it as "HSALNT0385073". The record is from RNAcentral. Lineage: Eukaryota; Metazoa; Chordata; Mammalia; Primates; Hominidae.